CCACAAAAUAGUAUGGCUAUAGCCAUUUUAAGUCUAAGAUAGAACAGUAAUCCUCAGGAUUUGGGAAUUAUAUGAAAUAAGACUGGCAGAUGCCAGUCCCUUUCUGCUGAAGAAACUGGGGCAGCAGUUCACAGUAGAUUGAUCUGAUACCUUUUUGCAUAGAUGUAGACCAGAUAUAACACCAGCUCAGAUAGAGCAGUAAAGGAAUCAUUAGUUAUUUCAUGAGGCUACAUGGCAGCACAGUCACAACUAGUUACUGCCCUCAGCCUGUCCAUAGCUUAUCAUCCUCCCCUCUCCACUGCUACCACCCAAAUCAACAUGCCAGCUGAGAAAAAUGAAAGAACAUUCUCUAACCGAUUUGAGUUUAUAUCAGCCAGGCCAGUUUAAAACAAUUUGUUAGAGGUCCUUGUUAACCCAAGCCAUUUUGAUGAAAAGGUACAGUUCUAGAAGAGCUCAAGCAAAUUUAAAUCAGAGCUACCACAGCCCCAUCUCUAAUGCCUGUUCCUGCUCCGUAUCUCAUUCAAUAGAUGGUCAGCCAGUUCAGAAAGGUGAUCCAGCCAAAACCUAACAAAGCAGAAAAAGCAAUUCAUUAUCAGCCUGAUUAACUCCUGGACUUGGCUUAACUUACAGCUACAAAGACUCCCAUGCCAGCAGGGGAAGAAACAUAGUCAAGAAGGAGGCAGGACCACAGCAGCCUGUUUCUUGAGCCUUUCAAGUUUGUUGAAAGGUUUAAACAAACUUAAAAUAGAGCUUCUUCUGAAAAGAGUGCUCACAGACAUCUCCCUCUCCUCCUGUGUAAGCAAUAACAUUUGCACAGCCACCCAGUCAGCCAGUUCAAGCAGUGGAUCCAACUGAAGCUCAUUACUUUUCCAUAGUACUGUUUUCAGCAGUGUUAGCAAACAGGGGUUGAAAAUGUCAUUUUGGUGAAAGCACUGCCAGAGAAAGCAAAAUUGCUCUGGUGGUAACGCAUUAACGUGGCGGUAGAGCACGCAUGUUAAAAGCCUUAGUUUGAUCAAGUUUAAGCUUGGUCCUCUCUAGAAAAAGACGGACAAUAUCCUCUAGUGUCACAUAUUAAAACUAUAGAUACUUUGUCAGUGCAGGGAUCUCGAUUUUCGAUAAAUGUUCUCUGAUCAAUGAAAACUCUAAAAGCGAGACUAGUGCCACAAUUCCACAUUAGUCUAAACCACUCUUGCUUGCUAAACUGGCAAAAUAAAUAAAUAUCUAAAUAACCA
This 1232-nucleotide long non-coding RNA is filed under the name Dromaius novaehollandiae (emu). RNAcentral describes it as "lncRNA (ENSDNVG00000000043.1)". Lineage: Eukaryota; Metazoa; Chordata; Aves; Casuariiformes; Dromaiidae. The record is from RNAcentral.